This is a long non-coding RNA of Gossypium raimondii (Peruvian cotton), 297 nucleotides long. RefSeq lists it as uncharacterized. The transcript is spliced from 2 exons. The record is from RefSeq and is a predicted model, not a curated record. Lineage: Eukaryota; Viridiplantae; Streptophyta; Magnoliopsida; Malvales; Malvaceae.
UGAAUGAAAUCAUCAAUUAUGUUCAAUCUCUUCAACGGCAAGUAGAGAUUUUCAAGAAGUUCGGAGGAUCGGAUCAACACAUCGAGCCACACUAUCCAGUUUGCUCCGGUAGAUUUUGUUAUACAUUUUGUGGUUUAUAUGGCAUCUAUAGGGCUGAAUUGAAGAAGAGCUAAAUUUGAAGUAUGGUUGUGAAUGACUUAUAUAUAUUUGUUUGUAUGCAUGUAUUUAGUAGUAGAUUUUGAUAAAUCAAUGAAUGGAGUUAAUUUGGUAAGCUUAGGCAAUUGAGUUUUGUGAUGA